This 492-nucleotide ribosomal RNA is filed under the name uncultured bacterium. RNAcentral's name for it is "partial 16S ribosomal RNA". It matches the Rfam family "Bacterial small subunit ribosomal RNA", at positions 29 to 507 of the family's 1533-position model. The record is from RNAcentral.
AGUGAACGCUGGCGGUAGGCCUAACACAUGCAAGUCGAACGGCAGCACAGUAAGAGCUUGCUCUUACGGGUGGCGAGUGGCGGACGGGUGAGGAAUACAUCGGAAUCUACUUUUUCGUGGGGGAUAACGUAGGGAAACUUACGCUAAUACCGCAUACGACCUACGGGUGAAAGCAGGGGAUCUUCGGACCUUGCGCGAUUGGAUGAGCCGAUGUCGGAUUAGCUAGUUGGCGGGGUAAAGGCCCACCAAGGCGACGAUCCGUAGCUGGUCUGAGAGGAUGAUCAGCCACACUGGAACGGAGACAGGGUCCAGGCUCCUACGGGAGGCAGCAGUGGGGAAUAUUGGACAAUGGGCGCAAGCCUGAUCCAGCCAUACCGCGUGGGUGAAGAAGGCCUUCGGGUUGUAAAGCCCUUUUGUUGGGAAAGAAAAGCAGCAGGUUAAUACCCCGCUGUUCUGACGGUACCCAAAGAAUAAGCACCGGCUAACUUCGUG